This 425-nucleotide ribosomal RNA is filed under the name uncultured bacterium. Its description in RNAcentral is "partial 16S ribosomal RNA". It matches the Rfam family "Bacterial small subunit ribosomal RNA", at positions 354 to 796 of the family's 1533-position model. The record is from RNAcentral.
GUGGGGAAUCUUGCGCAAUGGGCGAAAGCCUGACGCAGCCAUGCCGCGUGGAUGAUGAAGGUCGUAGGAUUGUAAAAUCCUUUCACCGGUGAAGAUAAUGACUGUAGCCGGAGAAGAAGCCCCGGCUAACUUCGUGCCAGCAGCCGCGGUAAUACGAAGGGGGCUAGCGUUGCUCGGAUUUACUGGGCGUAAAGGGCGCGUAGGCGGACAUUUAAGUCAGGGGUGAAAUCCCGGGGCUCAACCUCGGAACUGCCUUUGAUACUGGGUGUCUUGAGUAUGAGAGAGGUGUGUGGAACUCCGAGUGUAGAGGUGAAAUUCGUAGAUAUUCGGAAGAACACCAGUGGCGAAGGCGACACACUGGCUCAUUACUGACGCUGAGGCGCGAAAGCGUGGGGAGCAAACAGGAUUAGAAACCCUGGUAGUCC